AACACUGUUAACCUGCGGUACCUGCGGAAGGAUCAUUAACGCGUCUCCGACGGCGAGGGCGCGCCCCAGCUCCGGGCCGAAAGGCCGCGCUGCGGGGCGGCCCGAGCCGCUCGACCUUUGCGAACCCGCUGUGCACUUUUGUCGGCAGAGGCCCCCCCGGGGCCCGAGCCGGAAUCACAAACCCACUCGAAUCGAACGCUGAGCGGCCCCCGUGCCGCCUAAACUUUGACAACUUUCAAC
This 240-nucleotide unclassified non-coding RNA is filed under the name soil metagenome. RNAcentral's name for it is "partial contains 5.8S ribosomal RNA, internal transcribed spacer 2, and large subunit ribosomal RNA". The record is from RNAcentral.